Molecule: transfer RNA, 66 nt
Filed under: Sinentomon erythranum
Lineage: Eukaryota; Metazoa; Arthropoda; Protura; Sinentomata; Sinentomidae
Description: tRNA-Gln
Source: RNAcentral
UUAUAAUUAAGUGUUAUUACACUAAGAACUUUGAACUCUUAAAAACUACAAUGAUAGUAAUAUAAG